GGGAGGGAAGGAAAGAAGGGCAGAAAGAAAAGGAAGGAAGGAAAGAAAGGAAGGAAAGAAAAGAGAUUUUUUAAGCUAUUUUGUUCCCCCAUUCAUUUGCACUAGAAACACCAGCCAGUGGAACUCCUAUGAAACAAAUUUCUGAAUACUUUGGUUGUCUGGAUUUUCCCAGGUACCAUCUAGACUGCAUCUGCAGGUGGAAUGUGACCACACCUACACAGAAUACUGACUAAUGAUGACGACAUGCAAUGUCAUCUAACAUUCAGAACUUUCAAAAAUGAAGUCAUUCUCAUUCUUUUUUCAAGUAAUUGUGGUAGCUAUUUCCUAUCCAAAUGAGCAACAGAGAAAACACGGAGAGCCCUCCCGCUCACCUGUGCUUAUUUCCUUCAAUUAAGGGUGCAUGAGCGCGCGUGCACACGCACUCACGCAGGCGCACACACUCACAAGUGCACGCGCACAUAUGGUUUUCCCACACAUUUCACCAUAUCACUUUCUCUUUACUUUUUAAAGACAGGGCACUUGCCCUUAUGGCCAACAAUAUUAUGCCCAAGCUACCCCCAGCAUUCCGAGUUAAUCACAAAGGUGACAAACUCCAUUUGAACAAAGACCACCUGGUGAGCACGCAGCUCAAAUGUUGUCACCUAGAAAUUCAGGUUGUGUUUGGAAAGUGGACUUAACAGUGAAAGAAAAAGGCCUGGCGAACUUCAGAGGGGGUCAACCCAGUCCUGCAACGUUGUGUGUCAUUAUGGGGUGCUGUGCUAUCCAUAGAGAAAGAGGAGAUGAAAAAGACUCUACAGAGAGAGAUCAGACUGCAAGGAAGCAUAAAGCUUUCAUCACCAUAAUAUGAAGGCCUCCUUGGUAUAAAUGACUUUUUUUAAGUCCUAAUAAGAAAUACCAUCUAUUUUAUCUGGAAUUAUCUCAUUUUAUUAGCUUCAAAUUUUAUUCUAAGAUUCAUCGUAUCAGAUCAUCUAGGCUGGCCAAAAGGUCUGAAGACACAGAUCAUGUAUUAUUUUAUUACUGUUGUAGCAAUAAGUCAUUUAUGUUCUAUUCCUGUAUGUUUACAGACUUGGCAGUCACACUGUACAAUGAUCACAGAAAAUGCAGUGAGUUUUUCUUCUUAAAUGGUCAGGGAACCCCUAAGGGAGGUAGCGAUAGUUCUUUCCUUACUGUUUGGGUAGAGUUUUUAGACUCUCCCUAUCUACAGAAACAUCACCUGAACACAUGCGGGGGGCGGGGAAGUCUCUGAGACUCCCAUUUCCUAACUUCAGAAUAAAACCUGUCUCAGAGGCAUCCUGCAACAGCAACAUUCUCUGUAUAAAUGGAACAUGUCCACUGCAAAAUCACAGAAUCACACUUCUAGCACCCACAACUAUUGCAUGUACACGAGACGACUUCCUGUUCUCUGAGACCGUUCUCCUCUGCAUAUUUCUACCUCCCCAAACUACAAAAUGAUGCUACGUCUAUAGAUGUAAUCAAUGACCACGCACAGGGAAGUUGUGACCUUGACAUCUGCAGACAACAGCCACCUAGCAGACACGUAACAAACGCAUGGGGUGAGGAGACCAGAACGUACAGACACACUUGUAUAAUAAGACACGUCAAAAAGACCAAUUUGACCAAGAGAGGAAUGAAACAAGAUUCUAGACCCAUGACUCAAAAAUCAACUACAGGUACACCACAAAAAAUAAACAGCUGAACAGAAACAAGUGGAAGAAAAAAGUCCUAAGAAAGUGUAGUUACUCCAGUAUUCAGUAACACUCAAAAAAGGAAAUCUAGGCUGCACAGAUGUCCUGGGUUGCACUAACAGAAAUCGAGUCUCUGUAACAGGAAACACGAGUGUUCUGUUCACCUUUCCAAUAGUCUGACCACGCCAAAGUUGCUGGGUUUUCUUCUGGCUACAACACUUCAAGGGCGUCAAAAACAAACAUUCAAGUAUGGAGAAAGGAAAUGUGGAAGGUCCCGGAGACCAGGUAGAGAAGUGGGGAAGGUCCCAGAGACCAGGCAGAGGAUGGAUGGGAAGGCCCCGGAGAGCAGGUAGAGGAUGGGCAGGGAAAGCCCUGGAUACCAGGUAGAGGAUGGAUGCAGAAGGUCCUGGAGACCAGGUAGAGAGUGGGCAGGGACGGCCAUGGAGACCAGGUAGAGAGUGGACGUGAAGGCCUUGGAGACCAGGUAGAGAAGUGGGGAAGGUCCCGAAGACCAGGCAGAGGAUGGAUGGGAAGGCCUCAGAGAGCAGGUAGAGGAUGGACACAAGAAGGUCCUGGAGACCAGAGAGAGAAUAGACAAAGAAGGUCCCAGAGACCAGGCAGAGGAUAGACAAAGGUGGUCCUGGAGACCAGGCAGAGGAUGGACGUGAAGUUCCUGGAGACCAGCUAGAGAGUGGACAGGGACGGCCAUGGAGACCAGGCAGAGGAUGGACGUGAAGGCCCCACAGACCAGGUAGAAGGAUAGACACAGAAGGCCCCAGAGACCAGGUAGAGAAUGGAUGGGGAAGGUCCCAGAAACCAGGCAGAGGAUGGAUGGGAGGGCCCCGGAAAGCAGGUGGAGGAUGGGCAGGGAAAGCCCUGGAUACCAGGUAGAGGAUGGACACAGAAGGCCCUGGGGACGAGGCAGAGGAUAAACACAGAAGGCCCUGGAGACCAGGCAGAGGAUGGAUGUAAAGCAGGGAUGCUAGGUCCAGGAAAGACAAGAGACAAGCGUCUGAAGGUUUAAAGGACUAUCACAUAGAAGAGCUCUCAGCUUGUUCUGAUGGCUUCAACACAGAGACCCGCAGGCAAGGGAAGUUCACCAAAGCUAGGGGCCCAGGAGGUGCCGAGCCCCUCACCGGAGGCGUCCCAUCUGGAGAUGCUCAGCACUUCUCAGGUGUGCUGACCGAGUAUCUAGACAGGCUGACCUCAGGUACUCUAUACCUGGGAAGCCAGGAUCCUAAUAAUGCACCUACUAACAGGUGUAUUUUAAGACCAAAAAGGUGAAAGCACUUCCCUUAAGAAAUCCAAUUUAGAGUAGACUUAGAAACCACAAAUUUGCUGACUCACGCUAUGUCUCGAUGUGUACAUUAUAAGAAUAAAUAACCCAAGAUGAGCCCAUGUGCUUUAUGACUAGUAUUUUUCACAUAGGAAAGAUAAAUAUUUAACCUCUCUCUUUCCAAAAAAAAAAAAAAAAAA
Cercocebus atys (sooty mangabey) is the source of this 3161-nucleotide long non-coding RNA. RefSeq lists it as uncharacterized. The transcript has 2 exons. The record is from RefSeq and is a predicted model, not a curated record. Lineage: Eukaryota; Metazoa; Chordata; Mammalia; Primates; Cercopithecidae.